UACAGAGGUCUCAAGCGUUGUUCGGAUUCAUUGGGCGUAAAGGGUGCGUAGGCGGCGGGGCAAGUCUGAUGUGAAAUCCCGGGGCUCAACCCUGGAACUGCAUUGGAUACUGCCUUGCUAGAGUACUGGAGAGGAAACUGGAAUUUACGGUGUAGCAGUGAAAUGCGUAGAUAUCGUAAGGAAGACCAGUGGCGAAGGCGAGUUUCUGGACAGUUACUGACGCUGAGGCACGAAGGCCAGGGGAGCAAACGGG
RNAcentral lists this ribosomal RNA (253 nucleotides) under uncultured bacterium. RNAcentral describes it as "partial 16S ribosomal RNA". It matches the Rfam family "Bacterial small subunit ribosomal RNA", at positions 524 to 776 of the family's 1533-position model. The record is from RNAcentral.